GUGAAUCAUCAAAUUUUUGAACGCAAAUUGCACUCUCUGCUAUUCCGGAGAGUAUGCCUGUUUGAGGGUAAGUUUAAAUAAAAAUCGGUGUGGUUGCUGCCUUUCGUGGUGACGCAUCGGAUUUGGGUCGUCUUGUCUUCUGUUAAGUGACCUUAAAUUUUGCAUGUUUUUUUUCGAAAGUAUUCAAAUGUUUUUACGUAUAUUUGUGAUAUCGAUUACUU
RNAcentral lists this unclassified non-coding RNA (221 nucleotides) under Glomus sp. RNAcentral describes it as "partial contains 5.8S ribosomal RNA and internal transcribed spacer 2". The stretch from base 1 to 71 matches the Rfam family "5.8S ribosomal RNA", at positions 84 to 154 of the family's 154-position model. The record is from RNAcentral. Lineage: Eukaryota; Fungi; Glomeromycota; Glomeromycetes; Glomerales; Glomeraceae.